AUCUGGCUGGCUCAGUCGGUAGAGUAUGUGACUCUUGAUCUCAAGGUCGUGAGUUUGAGCCCCAUGUUGGGCA
Molecule: transfer RNA, 73 nt
Filed under: Mustela putorius furo (domestic ferret)
Lineage: Eukaryota; Metazoa; Chordata; Mammalia; Carnivora; Mustelidae
Rfam family: tRNA
About the family: Transfer RNA (tRNA) molecules are approximately 80 nucleotides in length.
Source: Rfam by way of RNAcentral